Molecule: non-coding RNA, 628 nt
Filed under: Pongo abelii (Sumatran orangutan)
Lineage: Eukaryota; Metazoa; Chordata; Mammalia; Primates; Hominidae
Source: RNAcentral
AGGGACCCGGCAGCCAGACAGACGGACAGGCGGACCGCUAGGGAGCUCACGUACCCGGACACACGCACGAGCGCAGAACAAAGGGCCGGACAUGCUCCAGCCCGCUCCGCCUGCGCCUCCGCCUUGCGCGCGGGGGCCCCGGUUACCUGCGCAGUGCCCUUGGUGUGGUGGAAGCAAGGUGCCAUGUGAUAAGUAAGCCUCCAGAGAGGCCUGCAUGGCAGGAUCCAAUGUCUCUAGCCAACAGCAUCUGGGGACCUGAGACCUGCCAACACCCUUGUGAGUGAGCCUGGAAGUGGAACUCCUGCUCUUGAACCUUGAGGUGACUAUAGUGCUGGCUGACACCUUGACUGCAGUCCCUGAGCUGGGGGGCCCAGCUGAUCUACUCCCAGAAUCCCCCCUACUAAAACAGUGAUAUAAUAAAUGCUUAUUGUUUCAAGCUGUUAAAUUUUAGAAUGCAUUCACUGAAAAAAUUAGGAUAUCAAACUAUAAACCAUUUACUUAGUCAACCUUUUAGGGAACUAAUACGGCCAUAAAUAUCAAGCCUCUUACAAUUUUGCACAUUCUUUGACUUUGUAGUUCUACGUCUAUAAACUUCUCUUAAGGGAAAUCAUGGAUGCUAACAAAGAAA